GUCUGAGUUGCAUUCAGAAGAUGCAGAUUAGUUUUUUGCAGGUCCUA
This 47-nucleotide transfer RNA is filed under the name Mantidactylus guttulatus. RNAcentral describes it as "partial tRNA-Ala". The record is from RNAcentral. Lineage: Eukaryota; Metazoa; Chordata; Amphibia; Anura; Mantellidae.